Molecule: ribosomal RNA, 421 nt
Filed under: uncultured phototrophic eukaryote
Lineage: Eukaryota
Description: bacterial SSU rRNA
Rfam family: Bacterial small subunit ribosomal RNA
Source: RNAcentral
AACACAUGCAAGUCGAACGAGGACUGUUCAGCUUGCUGAACAGUUUUAGUGGCGGACGGGUGAGUAACCGCGUAAGAAUCUGCCCCUGGGAGAGGGAUACCAAUUGGAAACGGUUGUUAAUACCUCAUGUGCUGAGGAGUGAAAAGGUUUACACCGCCUAGGGAUGAGCUUGCGUCUGAUUAGCUAGUUGGUGGGGUAAUGGCCUACCGAGGCAAUGAUCAGUAGCUGGUUUGAGAGGACGAUCAGCCACACUUGGGACUGAGACACCGGCCCAGACUCCUACGGGAGGCAGCAAGUGAGGAAUUUUCCCGCAAUGGGGCGAAAGCCUUGACGGAGCAAUGCCGCGUGGAGGAUGACCGGCCCGUGGGUUGUAAACUCCUUCUCUUUGGAGAAGAAUAACUUGACCGGUAUCCAAGGGAAU